Molecule: ribosomal RNA, 794 nt
Filed under: uncultured bacterium
Lineage: Bacteria
Description: bacterial SSU rRNA
Rfam family: Bacterial small subunit ribosomal RNA
Source: RNAcentral
GUUUGAUCAUGGCUCAGAUUGAACGCUGGCGGCAUGCCUUACACAUGCAAGUCGAACGGCAGCACGGGAGCAAUCCUGGUGGCGAGUGGCGAACGGGUGAGUAAUAUAUCGGAACGUGCCCAGUCGUGGGGGAUAACGCAGCGAAAGCUGUGCUAAUACCGCAUACGAUCUAUGGAUGAAAGCGGGGGACCGCAAGACCUCGCGCGACUGGAGCGGCCGAUAUCAGAUUAGGUAGUUGGUAGGGUAAAGGCCUACCAAGCCAACGAUCUGUAGCUGGUCUGAGAGGACGACCAGCCACACUGGAACUGAGACACGGUCCAGACUCCUACGGGAGGCAGCAGUGGGGAAUUUUGGACAAUGGGCGAAAGCCUGAUCCAGCCAUUCCGCGUGCAGGAUGAAGGCCCUCGGGUUGUAAACUGCUUUUGUACAGAACGAAAAGGUCUCUAUUAAUACUAGGGGCUCAUGACGGUACUGUAAGAAUAAGCACCGGCUAACUACGUGCCAGCAGCCGCGGUAAUACGUAGGGUGCAAGCGUUAAUCGGAAUUACUGGGCGUAAAGCGUGCGCAGGCGGUUAUAUAAGUCAGAUGUGAAAUCCCCGGGCUCAACCUGGGAACUGCAUUUGAGACUGUAUAGCUAGAGUACGGUAGAGGGGGAAUGGAAUUCCGCGUGUAGCAGUGAAAUGCGUAGAUAUGCGGAGGAACACCGAUGGCGAAGGCCAUCCCCUGGACCUGUACUGACGCUCAUGCACGAAAGCGUGGGGAGCCAACAGAAUAGAUCCCUGGGAGUCCACGCC